Molecule: small RNA, 115 nt
Filed under: Rhizobium sp. Leaf371
Lineage: Bacteria; Pseudomonadati; Pseudomonadota; Alphaproteobacteria; Hyphomicrobiales; Rhizobiaceae
Description: Alphaproteobacterial ar15
Rfam family: Alphaproteobacterial ar15
Source: Rfam by way of RNAcentral
AGCUGAUGCACCGGUGAUCUAAUCCCUCCCAGUAUCACCGCACCAGCUGUUCCCCUCUGGAGGUUUUAUGACCUUCACAUCUCAAGGACCUCGGCUUCGCCGCAGGUCCUUUUUU